GAGCGAAUGGAAGCAAGAAGUGUCGUGGGGGAACAGCGUCUGAUAUGAGGGAGUGUGAGCAGUUCCGGGUCUUGGGACGCUGUGCAUUUGGUUGGCGCUACGUGGGUGUGUGGACGGAUUGGGAGCGUGCGAUACGGCAUGGCGCUUAGGACCCUGAACCUGGUUUUCCUACUCCUUUGCAUGUCUCAAGCUUUGCCGAGGGGAAGCUUGAGUGGGGCAUGCCACAACUCGAUGGGGACGAGGAAACAUUUGAGCCCUAGAAUUCCAAUGUGGCUUCCUGUGCCGGGUGCACUGCCUCCCUUGGGAGAACUUCUUCCCCUGCCAGCCUUCAUUCCACCGUUUUUGGAUCUUUGGCCGACUACUACUAGCUCAUCUACUUCCACUCCUAGUGAAGUGAAGGAACCUUAGAAAGUAGAAGUAAAUUGUUUAAUUGUGUUUUUUUGGCUAGAAAUCCAAGAAAAUUGUAGUUUACUUGUGCAAAUUUUGCACUUGUAUAAAAAAACAAAAAAAAUUGUAAUACAACUUUCAAUUGAACACGAUUUUUGAAAUUUAAA
Molecule: non-coding RNA, 554 nt
Organism: Physcomitrium patens
Lineage: Eukaryota; Viridiplantae; Streptophyta; Bryopsida; Funariales; Funariaceae
Source: RefSeq, a predicted model, not a curated record